CGACCUCAGUUCAGGUAAGACUACCCCCUGAAUUUAAGCAUAUUACUAAGGGGAGGAAAAGAAACCAAC
Molecule: ribosomal RNA, 69 nt
Filed under: Scirtothrips perseae (avocado thrips)
Lineage: Eukaryota; Metazoa; Arthropoda; Insecta; Thysanoptera; Thripidae
Description: partial 28S ribosomal RNA
Rfam family: Eukaryotic large subunit ribosomal RNA
Source: RNAcentral